Molecule: ribosomal RNA, 877 nt
Filed under: uncultured bacterium
Lineage: Bacteria
Description: bacterial SSU rRNA
Rfam family: Bacterial small subunit ribosomal RNA
Source: RNAcentral
CAGGCGGUUUGAUAAGUNUGAAGUUAAAGGCUGUGGCUCANCCAUAGUUCGCUUUGGAAACUGUCAAACUNGAGUGCAGAAGGGGAGAGUGGAAUUCCAUGUGUAGCGGUGAAAUGCGUAGAUAUAUGGAGGAACACCGGUGGCGAAAGCGGCUCUCUGGUCUGUAACUGACGCUGAGGCUCGAAAGCGUGGGGAGCGAACAGGAUUAGAUACCCUGGUAGUCCACGCCGUAAACGAUGAGUGCUAGGUGUUGGAUCCUUUCCGGGAUUCAGUGCCGCAGCUAACGCAUUAAGCACUCCGCCUGGGGAGUACGACCGCAAGGUUGAAACUCAAAGGAAUUGACGGGGGCCCGCACAAGCGGUGGAGCAUGUGGUUUAAUUCGAAGCGACGCGAAGAACCUUACCAGGUCUUGACAUCCCGAUGCUAUUUCUAGAGAUAGAAAGUUACUUCGGUACAUCGGUGACAGGUGGUGCAUGGUUGUCGUCAGCUCGUGUCGUGAGAUGUUGGGUUAAGUCCCGCAACGAGCGCAACCCCUAUUGUUAGUUGCCAUCAUUCAGUUGGGCACUCUAGCGAGACUGCCGGUAAUAAACCGGAGGAAGGUGGGGAUGACGUCAAAUCAUCAUGCCCCUUAUGACCUGGGCUACACACGUGCUACAAUGGUUGGUACAACGAGUUGCGAGUCGGUGACGGCAAGCUAAUCUCUUAAAGCCAAUCUCAGUUCGGAUUGUAGGCUGCAACUCGCCUACAUGAAGUCGGAAUCGCUAGUAAUCGCGGAUCAGCACGCCGCGGUGAAUACGUUCCCGGGCCUUGUACACACCGCCCGUCACACCACGAGAGUUUGUAACACCCGAAGUCGGUGAGGUAACCUUUUGGAGCC